GCACCCAGACGCAGGCUGGGCAGGGGUGGGUGUUCACUGCUGGGACUGCCACAUUCACACCCACAAACCAGCCCGUGAGGCAAAACCCUGGGAUGAAGCAGCCCAUAAGUGCUAGGCAAAGCAACAGGCUUAUACUUGAUGCGGAGACAUCCGAACAGCUCAUGUGAGCAUCUUGUGUGGCAGGAUCCCUUUUACAUUACCUUAUUUCAGACGUGUCUAGCAUGCUAUGACUGAAGUCCAAGAGCAAAAAGAGUGCGACAGAGCUGCAGCUGUCACCCUCACGCCAGACCUUUGAAAGUCGAGAGGGCACUGUGUUACAGAGCCGAUGGAAACACCUUCAAUAGAUGUGACGGGCCGUUAAUGAACGUUUGGACGUGAUAUUGGCAGACGACCUAGCGAGGAGCACUACCUGAAGCUGAACAGACUUCCAAGUGCAAGGGAACAGCUACCAGAAAAAGCAGUUUCCAAUUAGACAUCCAAAUGAAUCGGCUUUAAAUUAAUUGUCAAUGACAAAAUGAAAUUAAUAUCAGCUAAGUAUAUAGCUUUCCUGGAAUACCUCAAAUCUGUUUGCCUGCGGUGACCAGACCACCUCCCACAGACAGCCCCACAGUGAAUCACAAAGGUGA
Long non-coding RNA from Cygnus olor (mute swan), 626 nucleotides. RefSeq lists it as uncharacterized. The record is from RefSeq and is a predicted model, not a curated record. NCBI's taxonomy places the organism in Eukaryota, Metazoa, Chordata, Aves, Anseriformes, Anatidae. The transcript is spliced from 3 exons.